This 238-nucleotide ribosomal RNA is filed under the name uncultured bacterium. RNAcentral's name for it is "partial 16S ribosomal RNA". It matches the Rfam family "Bacterial small subunit ribosomal RNA", at positions 100 to 334 of the family's 1533-position model. The record is from RNAcentral.
CCGGCACGGGUGAGUAACGCGUAUGCAACUUACCUAUCAGGAGGGGAUAACCCGGCGAAAGUCGGACUAAUACCGCAUGAAGCAGGGGCCCCGCAUGGGGAUAUUUGCUAAAGAUUCAUCGCUGAUAGAUAGGCAUGCGUUCCAUUAGGCAGUUGGCGGGGUAACGGCCCACCUAGUCUUCGAUGGAUAGGGGUUCUGAGAGGAAGGUCCCCCACAUUGGAACUGAGACACGGUCCAA